RNAcentral lists this long non-coding RNA (520 nucleotides) under Homo sapiens (human). RNAcentral describes it as "HSALNT0167544". The record is from RNAcentral. Lineage: Eukaryota; Metazoa; Chordata; Mammalia; Primates; Hominidae.
CUUGGGGCUCAGGGCCUGGUACACAGUAGGAGGUCAUUAAACAUCCCACACUGGUCAGUUACAGCCUCCUACGUCCCAGCUGUGCGUUUCCUGUGAAAAGAAUAAUGAUCAGCAGCACAAGUUCUAUAAGGGCAGAACCAUGUCUGUCUCCAGAGCCUGGCACAAGGCCUGACACCUAAAGAGCACCCAAAGAACAUCUGUGCCAUCAAUGAAUGAAUGAAUGAAUGAAGCAAUGGUUCCAUCUUGCUCUUGUCUGGGCUCCAGAGCCUGGUAUUCAGAAAAUGUCAUUUCAGCAGAGAACUAACUGGAUGUGGCUGCGGCAGCCCUGAAGAGCCCAUAGAAGAAAAGUUUGAAUUCCCCAGAAUCAGCCCAUUCUUGCAUUAAUUUCAAAACAUAGUUGAGUGCCUACUGUGUGUGCCAGGCACUGGUGGUGGUGAUACAGCAGUAAGCAAGAGAGACAGUAAAAAAUACAGACAAGCAAACAGGCCUGGCAGCUAGUGUGAUCAGUGCGAGGAUGGUG